Molecule: long non-coding RNA, 2237 nt
Organism: Pelodiscus sinensis (Chinese soft-shelled turtle)
Lineage: Eukaryota; Metazoa; Chordata; Testudines; Trionychidae
Source: RefSeq, a predicted model, not a curated record
GGUAGGGCAGCUCUGGCAGGCAGGGACUGGUCAGCCGAUUCCCAUCCACCUUCAGCCACAGCAGGUGGAUGAGGCUGCCCAGAGGAGACAGAUCUCGCAGCAGGUUCUCUGACAAAUCCACAUAACAGCCUGAGUAACAUGGCCCAUGAUUCUUUGCUGUCUGAGCACAGAGCAAGUCCUUUCUGCCCAUCAGGGCAUGGGAGCUGAAGCCAGGACCCUCCUAGCCCAAAGAGAUGGGUAGCACAAGAUCCAGAGGCGGAGGAUAUUUCAGCGAGGAGAUGAUAGUGGAGAGAGAGAAGACUAGCUAGCUGUUGCUGGAUGAUGUAGAUGCCAACUGAAGCAGCCACAAAGGGAGGUGGGGAACUGGAAAUCUAUCUGCAAGUACAAACCCUGGGGCAAGGAGAAAUAACAAGGCCCUGGGCUGCACAAGUAAAAGCUACACCAACCUAAAUUACACUGUGAUUUUAAACUGACUUAAUUAAACCAGCACGCACCUCAUUACAACUGAAGUCGUGAUAUAACGAGAAGUUGAGCCUGGUUUAACUCAAAGGGAGUUUUGCAAAAGUUGUCACCAGUUUUUAACCCUACCCGUUUAAUCAGUGCCAUUUACAGGAUUAUAUCUUUUGACUAGAAUGCGGGCUAUGGGGUGGGGCCAGGAAUGAGGGAGGGGGCCUCAGGCAGGGGACUGAGGUGCAGGCUUACUUGCAGUGGCUCCUGGUCAGCAGUGCAGUGGGGUGCUAAGUCAGGAUUCCUGCUUGUCCUUGCACCACAGACCAUGCUGUGCCUCAGAAGUGGCCAGCAGCAGGUUCAGCUCCGAGGCAGUUGUGCAAGCCGCUCUGGGCGCUGUUCUUGCCAGCAGGCCCUGCCCCACCCUCCCAGCUCCCAUUGGCCAGGAACCCUCAAAGGGAGUGGGGAGCUGGUGCUAAGGGCAGGGCUUGGAUCCCCAGAGUACCCCCCACCUAGGACUCUGGGGCACAGCACAGUCACCUGACAGCAAAGUGACCCAGUACUGGGCCACAACCCCUCCCAGGAAAACCACUGGUUUAGACAAAUCCAAGGAGGGAAUGCGGCGAGACUAAGCCACCAGAAGAAUUCAGGGUCCAUCUACUAGUGUCUAUGGGCACAGAUGCCUGGCAACAGGCUGGAGGCCUGUUCUUUGGAACACUGCUGCCUAGCACCCCAGGGAAGGACGUCCUCUGCUGGCUGGCUCAGCGGGAGUGGGACACUCCAGGUUACCCCCCUCUUCAGGUUUCAGCUGGAAAGCCAGGAGGAAGGCUCUCAGGUCCUCCCAAAAGGGCAGUACCCAUAAUGCACAGAAACUUGACCUUUCAUACUUCGGGGCGGAGCCAGCAGCAGCAGCAGGAUGGCUGAUGGAGGGGAGCAGCACGAAUGGGACUUGGGAGACUGGCUGGAGGCAGUGGGUGGAGCGGGCCAUGUGCUCGGAUUACCUGUGUAUACCUCGCUGUAUCACUUCCCUGCCAUGAAAUGCGCUUGGGCCCCAUGCAGGUUGGGCUCUCGGUGCUUGGGGGCCAGAUCCCCGAGGGCAGAGUAGAUCUGGCGGGCCUGAACGCUAUGGCUCUGGCAGGGGGGAGAGAGGCUGACUCUCCCGUCCCGGAUCGGUCUCCCUCCUGCCCGCCCCUUGUGCCCUAGACAAUGAUCAAGUCCCGCCGGCCCCCUGCCGCGCGGCUGGGAGUCCAGACUGCAGCAGCCGCCUAGUCCACAUGGCGCUUUCCCCGUUCGCAAGCGCAGGCGGCAGCAGCAGGAAGUGAGUCACUGGGUACGUGCGGGCAGGCACAGCGCGAGGGGAGGGGACGAGCGGGAGCGCGGGCACAGGAGACCCGAGGGGAGCUCCAGCAGCCCUGCCCCCAGCCAGCUCCACCUGAGCCGCCGCCGCCCAGAGCCACCCACUGCGGGGCUGCCGCACCCUAGCUGCCCCCUCCCCCUGCCUCGGCUAGCGGGUUAGCUCAGCAGCCACUUGCCCCAGAUCUCUGUCCACACCGUUCCCAUUAGCCUCAGCGGGGCAGCCCGGGAGAAGGGAGGAGAGGGAUGUAGAUGGGGCUGGGGUCUUGGGCCUACCGCAGUCAAGCGGGGCGAUGCUCAGGACCGAGCCAGGCUCCCACAGAGACCAGCGAGGCAGCCGAUUGCAACGUGAACAAGCAACGACUCUGGGACCAUCCCUAGAGACACUAGAUAGAAGCUUCCCUCCCACCUCUGCACUCCCAGUCUACAACCUUGCC